UAGAUUGUAAGGCAAGCCAGUGCACU
RNAcentral lists this non-coding RNA (26 nucleotides) under Homo sapiens (human). Lineage: Eukaryota; Metazoa; Chordata; Mammalia; Primates; Hominidae. The record is from RNAcentral.